AGGGAAUCUUGCGCAAUGGGCGAAAGCCUGACGCAGCAACGCCGCGUGGGGGAUGAAGGCCUUCGGGUUGUAAACCCCUUUCAGGAGGGAAGAAAUUGACGGUACCUCCAGAAGAAGCCCCGGCCAACUACGUGCCAGCAGCCGCGGUAAUACGUAGGGGGCGAGCGUUGUCCGGAAUUAUUGGGCGUAAAGAGCUCGUAGGCGGCUCAGCAAGUCGGCUGUGAAAUCCCGAGGCUCAACCUCGGAACUGCAGUCGAUACUGCUGUGGCUAGAGUCUGGUAGAGGAGAGUGGAAUUCCCGGUGUAGCGGUGAAAUGCGCAGAUAUCGGGAGGAACACCAGUAGCGAAGGCGGCUCUCUGGGCCAGUACUGACGCUGAGGAGCGAAAGCGUGGGGAGCAAAC
This 401-nucleotide ribosomal RNA is filed under the name uncultured bacterium. Its description in RNAcentral is "bacterial SSU rRNA". It matches the Rfam family "Bacterial small subunit ribosomal RNA", at positions 356 to 773 of the family's 1533-position model. The record is from RNAcentral.